Long non-coding RNA from Benincasa hispida (wax gourd), 854 nucleotides. RefSeq lists it as uncharacterized. NCBI's taxonomy places the organism in Eukaryota, Viridiplantae, Streptophyta, Magnoliopsida, Cucurbitales, Cucurbitaceae. The record is from RefSeq and is a predicted model, not a curated record.
UCCAAAACUACCCCCAUAAAUAUCCCAAACCUUCAGCAUGCAAUUCUCUCCCUCCCGCAUUUUUCCUUCUUCUUCAACGUCCAAUUUUCUGCAACAAAGAUUUCGAUUGAUUCUGGAUUUCUCUCAUUUACAAUUGGUUUCGAUUUCGAAUUUCUCAACUGGAGUAUUCGAUUUCGAUUUGCUCAGCAGGAGUUCUUUAAAGCUGAUUUGUGGAGGGUUUUUGUUCAAUUUUUUGGUUGAAGUUCGUCUACUGGUUUGGUCACAUUCUCUCAUUCUAAUAGGUUAUUUGUUUAGAAAUGCCUAGAUGCUUCUUCUCCACCUGUAGAGUCACAAAAGAUAAGACAACUGGCUGAGAAGAUGUCAGUGAAGUAUGAAAAGAGACAACAACAGGCCUAAUGGAGAAGUAAAAAUAGAGGGUCUGGGAGAAGUACUCAAAUGAGGAAUGAGUCUACCAGUUUUAAUUCCAUUCGUCGAAGAGGGUGCAACUGGCCUUUUGAUAGAAGGAGAUGGCAUCCGAUCAGAUUGGAAUUUUGGAUGAAAUAUGGAUGGUCCUAUCAAGAUUAAGGGCGAAGAAGUCAAAUUAGUCUUGGAGCUUGGUGCUAGGGUUUCAGAUUGCGUGGCAAAGAAUCCAGGAGAAGAUUGCAGUGUAUCUUCUCUCUCAAUAUAUCUCAUCUAUAGUUGGUACAGUCGAUCAACACAUGAUAAAUGGAGAUGAUAUAAAAUUGGAAAAUUGAAAUCACAUCUAUAUUGAAAUAGGAAAAAAAUUACAUCUUUUAUUUUAAUUUCAAAACAUGGGAAUGCUUAAAAAAAUUGACAAUACAAAAUUAGAUACACUAGAUAUUCGAUUGAGGGCC